This 389-nucleotide long non-coding RNA is filed under the name Setaria viridis. RNAcentral describes it as "long non-coding RNA (SVIR_LNC002272)". The record is from RNAcentral. Lineage: Eukaryota; Viridiplantae; Streptophyta; Magnoliopsida; Poales; Poaceae.
UUUUCUAGAAUAUGUUAAAAUCUGAUUAUCUUUCGCUGUCUAAAAUGCUCGGGCAUAUGUUGUCGUAUUUAUGACAGGCGCAACACAAAAGUUUAUCAGUUUCACAAACCUACUUGGAAUACAACACGAAUAUGAAGCCAAUUCUCUGUAGGAAUUUAACGCGGAGCAGCUGAAUUCUUGAAUUGAUUCCUGUGGCAAGAGCCAUGGAAAUCCCUGCUGUAAAUGAAGCUUCUGUUUCUGAAAAGGAAUUUGAUCUCUUUUGAGUUUUUGACUAGACCAGAAACAGCUAGCCCCAGCAGCAGCACUCAUCCACCUCAGAUUCCUACAACGCAAGCACAAUGAAUGAAUGUGGAUACUGCACAUAGAUAGUGCCAUACCCAAAUGUGACA